RNAcentral lists this unclassified non-coding RNA (12673 nucleotides) under Anthonomus grandis grandis. RNAcentral's name for it is "gamma-aminobutyric acid receptor subunit beta". The record is from RNAcentral. Lineage: Eukaryota; Metazoa; Arthropoda; Insecta; Coleoptera; Curculionidae.
CCCUCGACAAACCUGGAAUACGAGAGCUGCUCCGUACCGCGAUACACAAACUUUUCCAACCGUGGGAAAAUAGAAAUUUGACUCCGGGAAAACGGGAGGAUUUUCGCACGGGUAAAUUGAACCCAUUUCAUUUAAUUUGACUGAAACACCGGAACUUCGUUACACUGACGGCGCAAUUUUUUUUUUUUAUUAACGAUCGUGAGAGAUUCGUGUCCCGUUAUAAGUGUCCCGUUUUUGGUAUUCAGAUUAUUAUUGGACGGGAGAUGAACAGGCCUUUUAAAUUCUACCAGAGGACAAGAUCGUGUGACGUGCCCGCGAUUAGGGCCCCGCUUCAAAGGGGAAGAUAAAGACCGUCGACACGACGAUCGGUGGGCUGGCCGAGCCCCAUCAGCGAGAUGGGGCCCCAUGGGGCCAAGCCCUGGACGUACAGGGCUGGCCCAGGGCCAUGGCCCGGCUACAACCUGAUACUACUACCGAUUGUGAUAAUCAUGGGACUGCUCAGUACAACCACGAUGGUGCAAGCGAAAGGCAAAGGUCAGAAUGGAGGAAGCUAUAUUGGCGACGUCAACGUUUCAGCCAUCUUGGACUCCUUCAGCGUCAGCUACGACAAACGUGUAAGACCCAACUACGGAGGCCCGCCCGUUGACGUCGGGGUCACAAUGUACGUUCUUUCCAUCAGCUCGCUCUCUGAAGUCCAAAUGGAUUUCACAUUGGAUUUUUACUUCCGACAGUUCUGGACUGAUCCGAGACUUGCAUUUCAAAAGAGACCUCAGGUAGAACAACUAUCUGUGGGCUCUGAAUUUAUCACAAACAUAUGGGUGCCUGAUACGUUUUUCGUAAAUGAAAAAACGUCAUCUUUUCAUAAAGCUACCACGUCGAAUGAGUUUAUCCGAAUACACCACACGGGUAGCAUUACUAGAAGUAUUCGAUUAACUAUAACAGCCUCCUGUCCAAUGAAUCUUCAAUAUUUCCCAAUGGACAGGCAACUUUGCCACAUUGAAAUCGAAAGUUUCGGUUACACCAUGAGAGACAUCCGUUAUAAGUGGAACGAGGGUCCCAACUCUGUCGGAGUGUCAAAUGAAGUGUCCUUGCCUCAAUUCAAGGUCCUUGGACACCGACAGAGGGACAUGGAGAUAUCCCUUACUACAGGAAACUACUCCCGUCUGGCCUGCGAGAUCCAAUUCGUACGCUCUAUGGGCUACUACUUAAUCCAGAUCUACAUCCCGUCCGGGCUAAUCGUAAUCAUCUCCUGGGUCAGUUUCUGGUUAAACAGGAACGCGACACCCGCUAGAGUCGCCUUAGGAGUCACCACCGUGUUGACCAUGACCACGCUGAUGUCAUCCACCAAUGCCGCUCUACCGAAGAUCUCGUACGUUAAAUCGAUCGAUGUGUAUCUGGGUACUUGUUUCGUCAUGGUAUUCGCCAGUUUACUUGAAUACGCCACCGUAGGAUAUAUGGCCAAACGAAUACAAAUGAGAAAGAAUCGAUUUUUGGCGAUCCAGAAAAUAGCCGAACAGAAGAAAUUAAACGUCGAUGGAGGACCGGAUGAUCAUAUGCCCAAACAAACGCAGGCCGUACGCUUUAAGGUGCACGACCCAAAAGCGCACAGUAAAGGGGGCACCUUAGAGAGUACAGUAAACGGAGGCCGUGGAGGUCGCGAGGGAGGUCCGGACGAAGAAGCGGGCGGCCCCCCGAUCCCCCAACACAUCAUGCACCCGAACAAAGACAUAAACAAGUUGUACGGCAUUACCCCAUCGGAUAUCGACAAGUAUUCUAGGAUAGUGUUCCCCGUGUGUUUCGUCUGCUUCAACUUAAUGUAUUGGAUCAUCUACCUGCACAUCUCGGACGUUGUCGCAGAUGAUUUGGUGCUACUCGAGGUUGAUAAGUAGAUAUCGAUGAUAGUUUGGGUGAAGAUGGAUUGGGAGGUGUCAGUGAAUAACUAUGCAGGAGAGAUUUUUUUUUGGAAAAACCUGCUGCAACCAUAUUAUACUGAAGUGGUUUAAUACUGAUAUACGCACCCAAGAACUGACAUAAGGCAAACGAUGCCAAAACAUAAGCAUAAUAUUCUUUAGAAAUCAACGAGUAGGAAUUUUAAAUCUGUUUAUUUUUUAAAAUGCGUCUCUAUUUCCGAGUUACCUUCUGUAGAGUUUGACCUAUCAAUUGUUACGAUUAAAUUUUUAUAUAACACGUUAAGUUUUCCGAUUAUUUUUUUGUUGGUCUAGUUCAAGGGCUAUACAAGUUACGUGCCUUUAAUGCAACGUAAGUGCACAUUGUAUAGAAAUGACUACUGGACCCGCGUUUUCUGGAUAUAAAAUAUCCCAAAAUAAAAUAAUGUCAUAUAGUUAAAAAAAGACUUUUAGAAUAUAGUCAAAAAAAACUCCAAUAAGACGGUCGAAAACAUCAAAAGACGGUUUUAUAAAACGCUUAAUGCUGUCCUCGACCCGAUUAUAAAGCGAAUGCACUGUCAACCAUUUUAUUGUCACUUCUGUUAAAUUUUUUAAAAAGUUUAUUUAUUCGUUGAACAUAUAUUUUUGUAGUUUAUAGGCACGAGACUAAUAAUUUAGCGAAAAAAAAUAUUCUAGUGUAACAUUAUUGAAACAUUCUAUACAGGGUGUCGAGAACGGAGCACACCCUGUAUCUUAGAACGUUUAUUAAUGCCCAUGUAAAUAUGACGUUCCUGUUUUUAUACCUAACUAAAAUGCACUAAUAUUCAUUGAAAUGCAAUUAUUUUUUAGAUUAGAUCUUCUAGCACUUACACUGACUUUUUGGGCAUUUUAUAUCUUGUUUUUGGUAAUAUAAAGAUGAAUAUUAUAAUAUUAAAGAAAUUAUUUUUUGUUUGAAAUAUAAUUUACCAUUAAUUAGUUUUACACGUGAUAGCGUAUAACUUUUUCAGACGUUUUGGGAUAAGAAUAUCCGUCAUCAAAUAUUUUCUGUAAGGACCUGAGCUUUGUUUUGGUAUACAGGGUGUUAAUUUUUUUUUAAUACAACUGUUAUUUUGAGUUAAUUUUUUUUGCAAGGUUUACUUAAGUAUUUUUUUUAAUGAUUAAAAAGGGUACUUUAAAUGAGAAUUAUUACGAAAAUAAUCAUUAUCAAUUAACAACUAUUAUGAAAAAUUGUGAAAAAAAUUUAGUGUGUUUUAGAGCACCUCAAAUAAAGUACUGUUUUUUUUUUUAAAUAAAUAAACCGGAAAACUGUGCCGAUGUUUCGACCUUUAGGUUAUCUUCAAGGAUGAAAACAUUAUUUUAUAACAUAUUAGCCUGGGCUUCGCCAACGACUUAAUAGUAGUCAGAGACAAACUCACGAACUUCAUUUUAGAAAGGACUGAAUAUAAUUGACAAGAAUAAAAUCUUGAUUUAAAAUCACCAUAAUUCCAAAUUACGAGACUGUUUUACCACAAACCAAAACACUUACAUGAAGAAAUUAAUAAGCCACGUGUAGCAUCGUCAAUCAAAUUUGUCACUAUACAUUUUCAAUCAGGUAUUUGCACCGUGUAAAAUGAACACAAACAACGCAAAAUACUCAUUUGCGCGCACCGCCUGAGUAUUUAGCGAUUUUUUCUUAUUGUAUGUCCCCAUUAGGUCUAAUCUACAAUUUCUUCACUAAUCAGAGUCAGUGUGAUUUAUUGCCUCCUCUUUCGUGGUAAUUCCGUUUUGAUUGAAUUUUGUGAAUAACAGAGUCCCUUACUUCAUGUGCUUUUUCAAAGUUUUCCACGUUUAAAAUGUUUAAAUUCAAUAGAAUUUAUCCGUCUCAGCUCUUUAAUAUCCUCGGUAUCAUCCUAAAAUUGUGUUUUUCUAGUUCAUGUAAGUCCAAUUACGGACAAAUACACUCAUUUUAUAGUCAUUAUUUUCUUAUUUUUAAGCUGCAUUCAUGAUAUAUGAGUCCUCUAGAUGCAAAACCAGAUAUAUCACUUUGUAAUAAAACUGAGAUAAUUGCAAAAAACUGCCAUUUGUUUAUAAAGGAUAUUAUUGGCCGAAUAUUGGACCAACCGAAAGGUGAUGGGUUCUUAAUAAAAUAUAGCAAAGAAAUAAUUAUUUUUUUCUUAAUUUUAAACACUUAUUUAAAAAAAUGCUGUGAAUAUAACUGAUUUUGAAACUUAGGCCAGGAUUUAUCUGUUUUUGAAUUUUAAAGUACUGUUUAAUGAGAGACAUUAUUUCUUUAAAAAAAAUUUUUAUUAUUUUUUUUUAAUAACAAAGAUAAACUUAAAAAUAAUCCUUAAUCAAAAAAACGUGUCAAAUUGACAAAUUUUUUCAAAAAAUCAAAUAAUAAUAUUAGUUGAAAUGUUUUCUUAAAAUGUAUUACACAAAUCUAUUGUCGUCUUCUUGAGGCUCACACAGGACUUCUUCUUCCUAGACCAUUUCUUCUUGUUCUGCAGUUAAGUUACCAACUCUGUUCAAAACAUCUUUGUAGUACUGAAGUCCUAAAAUAUCUGCUUCUUCCUUCCAGUUUGCGCCGAAGUGUCCGAUGAGGAGUUCGUCAACAUUUUUAAUUUUUUCUGGCUUUAAGUUUGGACAACUUAUGUUCAUUUCAGAAGGAUUAACAGUCAUCAGUGUUUUUCCUUUUGUACAUAUACUUUGUGCUUUACUAACGGAGUGUAUAUAAAAUGGCUCUCCUUUAACAAUGACAUUUCCUGAUUGGUUUUUUGUAAAUAAUAUACGUUUACAUGAAUGUAGUGACGAAGUCCAUUUUAUGUUAAGUUUGACUUGUUCCUGCCAAUCAAAAACCUUCCAAUUCCAAAUUUGCACGGUACCAAAUUCCUCAAAUAUUUCAUGGUAUUUCUCUGGAAUAAUAAUAAUAAUCUCCUCCUUGCGUAGCCUCUUCUCCAUAUUUGCGAAAACCCGGUCAGGUGGUAUGUAUGAGUGGCCCGCCACUGGGAAUAUUAACUCACCGGAUUGAAUGUGAUCUGGAGCACCUUGAAACCAAACCGAUACCAUGGUGAUCAUUGUUAGGUUCUUAUUUUGUCCUCCGCAUCCAUCGGAACAAAGUCUCAGAUCUGUUAUGUCUGUUAAGUCUAGUUUUUGAAGUCUGUCAAAGACCGCGGAACUGGGCUGGGAUUCCAAAAUCUCGACUCGAUCUCGAUAUGAUCACGACUUCGAAUUCGAUCGCGACUCCGUCAGUCGUGACGACAAAGGUGAUUCUAAAUUUCAAUCGUCGGCUAAACUCGUUUUUUUCGAGUUGAUUAAGGUUUCUUGGUACAUAUUUGUUAUUUUCCCUAAUAUUUGGCAGAUGGAAACGUCAAUUGUCUUUUCUAUUGAUAAACAGUAAACACUAAGAAUUUUUAUUUAUUUUGUUAAUUUUUUCACCUUUCAUUUCAGUAAUUUUAUGGAUUCAACGACUUGCAAUAGUUUCGCUAAUUCCAAAUUUAAAAUCUUGUCCAAUGCUUCUUUGGUAAUAAUCUGUGGCAUAAAAUCUUGACAUACUAAAACUGCCCAUUCAAUGGUAACUCUACUUCCUCUGCCUCUAUUAUUAACAAAAGGUUGUGGAAAAUAGGGUCGAAUUAAAUCUAUUAGUUGUUGUGUUUAAGAAAGCUUCUUGAUAUACUAAUGAAAACCUGGUAUGACUAUUGGUAAACAAUAAAUGAAACAAAUACAAUAUAAUAGGCUUGUUGGUCGGGUAUCUUCGGUAGCACUAAAUUUUUUUCACAAUCGUAUGACAUUGUUAAUAACCCUGGACGCUCUUCUUGCAGCAAUUGGAAAAAUGAUUUAGAUUUUAAUUUAUGGAGCCUACUCUGCGCAAUAAGGUUGUUUUUCAUGUUGGGCUUUCGUAUUUUAAAUUUUGGAUUUAUAUUCCAAGCAGCGUGAGCAGACGUCUGUUUGAGCCGCCUUAAAUCCCAAAUUAAAUUUGGCAUUAAAUAGGGAUCUAAAAUAAGAUUCUUUCACCCGGUGGUCUUCAAAACUUGAAUUAUUAGGAUUCCACAUUUUUUUAAUGCUCAAGUUGCUAGCCAGGUACUGCCUUUCACUUCUGCCUCUACAAUAGUGACUUUCUAUAACAGAGAAAGACUUAAUAAAGUUUAUGAUCAUUCCUUUUUUUUUAAAUAUUUGUCUUUGACUUUAUCACCACCUCGGGAUUCUAAAGGCAUUUGUCCUGUUUUAAAAAAUCGACUUAAUACACCAGUGACUCUAUUAUGUCCUAGAUCUAGGGCCCGCAAAAAGGUAUUUUUACAAACAGGUACACAUUCCUUGGAAAGUUUUUUUAGGUAUAAAAUAGUGGAAAGACGCGUUUCGGGCUCUUAAAUUUUUUAAAGCUCGUCGUCUUUUAACUUCCUUAAUAAUACAGUGCUUUAUAAUAAAACAAUCUUGUAUUGUUUUUUUUGUGAGAAGCAAAGAAAGAUUUAUGGAAAGUUGCAAUAUCAGCAUUUGUUAAUAAGGAGCACUUGUAUGAAGGUGUGUUGUGAGUUGUGAGAACAUAAAGGAAAUCUUAGCGGAGCGGUAGCUGAAUAUCUAUGAAACAAAAAACGUAAGCUUAGCAACGAAUAUCACAUUUAAAAGAAACAUACCUCGUUUCGGUAGCUGCAUGUCUUUUCCAGUGUUUACACUGUUUCAAGACUUUCCGUGCUUUACUGGGUGUUCAUUAUGAGUUUUCUUUAUAAAAAUACAAUACAUAUAAAAGAACCAUUCAUUAACACUUAAAUACUACUAAUUUCAAAUCACACUAAAUACGUAGGUAGUACUUCAAUCAAAUUUUCAGAACAACUGACUGCAAAAAAAAGAAAUGUAAACAGUAUUAAACCGCCCAAAUGGAUUUAACUUGUUUUGACUUGCUUGUGCGUUUACGCGAAGCGACAAGGUUGGGAUAUAUCUGAAUUUGCAGCGCAAUGGAUUUACCUUUGAAUAUCAUUUAGCUUAAAAUAUAUCUGGUUUUGACAUUUAGUAGGAGCUUAAACGGCAUUUUUUAGCGUGAUAUGACCGAGUUAGAAACUUUUUAAAUAUUGCAUAGUAGAUAACUUUAAUAGUAUUAUAGGUUUGCGCCAAAAUGACAAAAAGUAGAUUUAUCCGCUUUUGCAUCUAGAAGACUCAUAUGACUUAGGAGAGCCAAAAUCUCCACUUUUUCGGACAUAUUCGUCUCAGUUCUUUAAUAUCCUCGGUAUCACUCUAAAAUUGUGUUUUUCUAGUUCAGGUAAUAUAAUUACGGACAAAUACACUCAUUUUAUAGUAAUUAUUUUCUUAUUUUUAAGCUGCGUUUAUGAUAUGACUUAGAAGAGCCAAAAUCUCGACUUUUUCGGACUUAUCCGUCUAAGCUCUUUGUCGAUUGACGUUUUGUCGUUUUUCGAUAAGAUUAGGUGUGUUAUUACGAUUGGUGCCUCUGCAGUGCAAAGAAAUUACAUUGCAUUUUUCUUCUUGCAUUGACUAGCAAGUAGCUUUAUUAUAAUAAGUUAAUCCUUUUCUUGUUCUUGUCAAUGUAAUGGUAUUGUUACAUAUUUGUCAACUCAAAAAUAUCAUUGAUUAAUUCUUACAUGAUCAUCCUAUGUCUGCAGUAUCAAGAAAUUAUUCAUUCAUUGAUUUUUAGAAUUUCAUUAUUGUUGUAAAAUAAUAUACUUGAUCAACGCGUAUUUUCAAGAGCUUCAACUUUGGCAUUUGAAUCCACUUCGACAAUAAUUCGGCCUGAAUUAUAAAUGAAAAAAAAACUUUUUCGAAAUUUCCGAAUUUCCGUCAGUUUCUCAUAUCAUAAUUUUUAGAUACGAACUGAGGCAAAUUGAUAAAAACAUUAACACAGCUUAUAAUAGAAGCUAAAAUUUCAAACAUUUUUGCUGAAUCUAUUCACUUCCUAAUGACUUUGACUGCGUAAAGUAAAAUGCAGCUCAGAUUUUUUUGAAAAUUUUAAAGGUGAGAUCAAUGUUGUAGGUCUUACGAUAUAGCACCAAUCCACAACUAACCCCAAUCAUUCCCUAAAAAAAGCUGUAAUUAAAAAAUUAGCCUCCGGCUAUCGUUUAUAUUAUGUUGUUUUCGGGCUACAGUUUGACUGUACUGUAUAACUCUGGUGGAUAAAAAUACACUUUACCUGAAAUAUUCGUAAUGAUUUCAAAAAGCUGCAUAAUAAUUGCAGAAUGGCUUCUUAAGGUAACAAAAUUAACUUCUCAGUUUUCAAAAGUAGCCAUAAAAAAUACAUCCUCUAGCUGACUAAAUUCAAAAAUUUUCUCUUGAGCAUUGAACCAUUUUCUACCAUAAAUUUAAUAAAACACCCUAUAUUUCAUCUUAUUUCGAACCAACCACCUUACAUAUUUAUUAAAAUAGUUACCAAAAACAAGAAAACGUGCCCAAAAACGUGCCGGACUUGUUUACAGGGUGUUCUAAAACGACCCCUAUUUAAUUUAAAAAAAAAAAACGCAUUUUAUAAAAAUAAAAAUUAAAAAUUGCGCAAGCGCGCGACUUAGUCGCGUAGAAACGAAAUUCUAAAAUAUGUAAAAUAAAUAUAAUGUAAUUAAAAUAAAUAUAUAUUAUACACAAAAAUGAAAUGAAAACUAUAUAAUGGCGUAUGACGUAACCCUUCUUAGAUGACGGACUUUUAGUUGUUUGACACUUUUUAGUAGAAUUUUAGUUACAUGCCAAAAAGCACUGAACGCGCAUGCGGUGUUUGGAAUUGUUAGACGAGUCGUUAAUAAUAGUAAUAACUCGGAUCAGUAUCAGUACAAAUCCAAACACUCUGUAUAUUUCUUUAUUUUAGUGAUAAUAGCUAACUCGAGGGUUACGUCAAAUGAUGAUGAACCCUAGAUAGGUAAAACGCUCGUAGCCCAAGGGAAACAGUUAAAAAUAUACCUAGUGAAAACAAUUACUGAAAGUUGUAUAUAAUUUAGAGUCGCAGGUAAAAUUUCAGAUGUAUUCAGAAAAUAAAAAAACUAUUACGAGAUUUAUUCUAUGGACGCGCUUUUUUAAAAUUUAUUUAUUAAGGAAUCCUCGUUGUACAGGGUGACCAAUUUAAAGUCGUAUACCUAGAAAACUGUAGGAGAUACAAUAUGACCUAAUUUAUGGCUUAAUUUGAGUUUUUUCUGAUAAAUCAAACAUUUCAUUUGAUCUAUUUUUACUCAAAAUCCAUCAUCGUCAUAAAGCAGAAUUACAAUUGUAGUAUUAUUAAUUUAAUUAAUUCAAAUUUUAAGAAUCAACCCAUUUGAGAUUAUCUGUUGUAGCUGUUCUUUAAAAUUCAUCAACAUGUUUAAUGGCAAAUUGAGGCUUAUUGCCCAAUAUAAGAUAUUUAUUUUUCCUUUGCCUCGUUUUUCCAAUGAAAUGUUUAAUAUUUUAAAUAUUUUGGGUUAGAAUUCACUUAUUUUGGGUUAUUCAUGGUAGAUUUAAAUAAGAUUUUUUUGCUUCGGGAGUUGUGUUAAUUAAAUCGAACUAAAAUAGGAGUUAAAUAAAAUGCUUCAUUAAAGAAUUAUUUUAAUUAAUUUUUUUGAGUAAAAAAUCCUUAUUGAAAGUCUCUUCUCUCGUAGGAUUAAAUAAGAUUUUCUAUAUGUAAAGGUAGUGCUAAUUCAAAUUUUAAAAAAUACUCAAUUAACCCUUAUGUGACUGGAAAGGUACCCGGGUACCUUUUUAGCUUUCAGAUAUGAAUAUCUUUUUAACUCACCUUCGAUGAAGCUUGUACUUUUGUGACAUUUCUUAAUUUGGUUUUUUUAAGUUAUUGUUAAAAUUGGAAUUUUUUUUUUAUUUUCAAAGUAAAUAAGGUGUAAAAUUUUUUCACCCAUAGUUGACUGGAUGGUUACCCGGGUACCUAUACUAUGUUUAAAAUACUAAUAAAAUUUUUAAGAGUUAAAUUCAUAUGUUUUAUUAUAUAUACAGUAAUAAGAAGUCAUAGAAAAUUACAGUGAGGUACAAAUUAACGCAACAUAACAAACAAACACUUAAAAACACUAAAAAACAUUACUUAUGAAUUACAGUUUUGACAAAUAGCCACUGAAUGCUCAUUACAUACUGGUUUGGAGCACGAUUUACAGGCUUUACGAGUUUUUCUCUGUUUAUGGGUUCGCUCUCGGCAUAUUUGGCAACUACCAACCACCUUUAUACGUCCAGAUGCAUCUCGUUCACAAACUGCUUGUUCUCUAACUGGAUUAUCUAAAGGAACAGGCAUUCGUGAAGUACCAUUUCUAUAGCCUGACGAGUAAAAUAAUUACCAACAACUUUUGGAAUUUGGGAUCUUAUUUGGAUACUUGACAAACACAGCUCAUUAUCAAGAUCUUUUAAAAAUCGCCGACGUUGAUCAGUAGCUUUGAAAGAAGGAUUAGGUUCCUUGUAUAUACAAUAAGAAGCUAAACUAGCAUCGUCAAUUAUGUUGAAAAAAAAUGCUAAUGGCUAGCGAUUUGUUCUACGUUUGACAGUAUAUUCACAUAGCAUUUGGUCCAUAUGUCAACACCGCCGUUAGUUUUGUUAUAAUAUCUGUUAAUUUCAGGCUUUGCAACAGAAGUAUUAUCUACUUCGCCUGUUGUGUGCAUAGUUGAUAAAAAAAAUCACUGCCUUAUUUUUUUUUGGAACAUAAUAGCAUAAGAACAUAACAGCAAUGUAGCAUCUUUGUUGAAUGCAAAAAAUGGUUAAAUUUAUGGCUCUAUCUUUUUGUGCUUGCAUAUUGGAAGGUAAAAACGUUUUAUUUUUUCUAACUGUUCCUACUAAAGUCAUAUUCCAUGAAUUUAAAGUACGAGCAAGUUGCAAACUUGUAAAAAAAUUGUCUGUUGUGAUAUUUCUUCCUGAUCCCUUAUAAUGUACAACUAAGUCCAAUACUGUUCUCUCACCAAUAUUUGCCUGACGUUCACCACCUGGUGGUUUUCCGGUAUAUAGCUGACCCUUUAGAGGAUAGGAAUUUAUCGCAUCACAAGCCCAAAAAACCUUUAUUCCAUAUUUCGCUGGUUUCGAGGGAAUGUACUGGGUAAACUUAGUGUGUCCUCUAUAUGGAAAUAAUUGUUCAUCUACUGUAAUACACUCUGUUGGCCGAUAAUUUUUUGCCAAAUUUGAAUUAAGCAUAAUCCAGAUAUCUCGAAUUAUAGCUGCUUUAUCUGUCUUUGCACGUUCUAUACGCGUAUUGUGGUCAUCAAACCGAAUAAAUCUUAGAAACAUUUUGAAGCGAUCACGAGGCAUAGCUGCGCGAAACAAAGAGAGCGAAUCCAUCUUCCACAUUUCAGAAAUAUGUUCUUUAUUGAACCUAUGUAAACCAGCAGUAAUUGUUAAUUUAUAUUUAUUUUUCUACUUGUAAUUUGGGAGCACUUGAUUGGGUACACUUGAAUAAUGAGAUAGAUUAAUAACACAUUAUAAUUAUUUUAUUACUUGCUUUAUUCUCCAUAAGUGCAAGUCAUACAAACAACCCAACCUACAACAACUAAACAUCAGUUGUCUUUUGUCAAUGUCUGACAAGCCAUAAAUAGGCAAUUUCAAAAUAUACUCUGGUUGUAUACCUGACAGUAAUUAGAAUUCCGAAAAAUGCAUCUAGGUCUACAUCAGUAAAUGGAAUAAAUACUUUUGGAAAAAAUGUUUUCGGCGGCUUAGUUAUUGCCAAUAACCUUUGGUUAUAUUCCUCCGUAACUCUAUUCCCUUUUUUAUUGCUAUAUUUUAGAAUCAGGGUACACAUUUCUGGGGAUAUAAUAGUUUUAAAGAUGUCUUUGGGCAUAUAUAAACGACUUAAGGCUGGUGCACCACUUUUUUCACGCAAAAUAUUUCAACCUACCGUUUGUCGUUGUGGUGUAGGUGAGUCAUUCCAUUAAGUGCCAUCUUUACUAGUCCAAUGAAAUUGUGAAGAUAAAUUUGGAUGAACGUCAUCAUCAUCAUCAUCAGACUCCGAAUCUUCUAGCUCUACAACAGGAUCGUUUUCAACAUCAGAAUCCUCGCCCUCUCCAUCUGACAGUUGUGGAAUAUACUCCUCUUCAUCAGAAGCAAUAAAUGGCUCUUCUUCUUUAUCACUUAGGUGUUUUAAGGCUUCUUCUAAUUCCGAAUAGGUCAACCUAUUAUAAUUUUCCUAUUAUUAUUUAAUUUACCUCCUUUUAUACUCUGUAUUAACUUUGACAUUUUACCUAUUAUGUAAAAAUAAUAAAUUAUAAUAAUAAAUCUUCCGCCAUCUUCCUCUUGCACUAUGGCUUCGACUAGGACCGGCCUCACUAUCCGACAUUUUAACGUAUAAAAAAUACCUUAUAUUUAACGUAAUUCAAACUCUACUCAAGUAGGUGCAACGCGUUACUGACGAAUAUGAACUGAUCUUGUGCAAAAACACAAACAGUCCGAGGCGCCAGAGAUAGGGGACAACCCACACAGAUGUGCAUGUUUAUAGUUAAGGGUAGAAAUUCACAGAAAAAGCCACGCCGUCCUUAGAAGGUGUUUUUUUUCCCAGUCACAAAAGUUAAGCCAGGAUUAAAGGAUAAGGAUUAAUUAAAACUUCCAUUUUAAUUAUUUGAACAUUAAAAAAAUUACCUAAAGGAAAAUCAAUUUUAGUUACGCUUCACAGAUAUAAAUGAAAUUCAUCAAGUAGGAAGUUAUCCUAAUUAAGAAAAUAAAAAAUGCUUUAUUCGAAAUCUCUUUUGUUAGAAUUCACCUUUUUUAGGUAGUCUAUCGUAGGAUUAAAAGAGGUUUUCAGUUAGGAGUUAACUAAGCAUAAUUAGGCAGAAUUAUUAAAAUUAAAGAUUCAUGAAAGAAAAUAAUUAGGUUACAGUUUAAAAAUUCAAAGGAUUUUUUUUAAAUAGGAGUCUAUAUUAUAUUAUAUGGGACUAAAUAUU